This 78-nucleotide ribosomal RNA is filed under the name Weissella confusa. Its description in RNAcentral is "partial 23S ribosomal RNA". RNAcentral also lists the same sequence under 1 other name. Lineage: Bacteria; Bacillati; Bacillota; Bacilli; Lactobacillales; Lactobacillaceae. The record is from RNAcentral.
AGGUAGAUAGGCUAGAAGUGGAAGUGCGGCGACGCAUGGAGCGGACUAGUACUAAUGGUUCGAGGACUUAACCAAGUU